Molecule: ribosomal RNA, 2925 nt
Filed under: Escherichia coli
Lineage: Bacteria; Pseudomonadati; Pseudomonadota; Gammaproteobacteria; Enterobacterales; Enterobacteriaceae
Description: 23S ribosomal RNA
Rfam family: Bacterial large subunit ribosomal RNA
Source: RNAcentral
GGGUUGUGAGGUUAAGCGACUAAGCGUACACGGUGGAUGCCCUGGCAGUCAGAGGCGAUGAAGGACGUGCUAAUCUGCGAUAAGCGUCGGUGAGGUGAUAUGAACCGUUAUAACCGGCGAUUUCCGAAUGGGGAAACCCAGUGUGUUUCGACACACUAUCAUUAACUGAAUCCAUAGGUUAAUGAGGCGAACCGGGGGAACUGAAACAUCUAAGUACCCCGAGGAAAAGAAAUCAACCGAGAUUCCCCCAGUAGCGGCGAGCGAACGGGGAGGAGCCCAGAGCCUGAAUCAGUGUGUGUGUUAGUGGAAGCGUCUGGAAAGGCGCGCGAUACAGGGUGACAGCCCCGUACACAAAAAUGCACAUAUUGUGAGCUCGAUGAGUAGGGCGGGACACGUGGUAUCCUGUCUGAAUAUGGGGGGACCAUCCUCCAAGGCUAAAUACUCCUGACUGACCGAUAGUGAACCAGUACCGUGAGGGAAAGGCGAAAAGAACCCCGGCGAGGGGAGUGAAAAAGAACCUGAAACCGUGUACGUACAAGCAGUGGGAGCCUCUUAAUAGGGUGACUGCGUACCUUUUGUAUAAUGGGUCAGCGACUUAUAUUCUGUAGCAAGGUUAACCGAAUAGGGGAGCCGAAGGGAAACCGAGUCUUAACUGGGCGUUAAGUUGCAGGGUAUAGACCCGAAACCCGGUGAUCUAGCCAUGGGCAGGUUGAAGGUUGGGUAACACUAACUGGAGGACCGAACCGACUAAUGUUGAAAAAUUAGCGGAUGACUUGUGGCUGGGGGUGAAAGGCCAAUCAAACCGGGAGAUAGCUGGUUCUCCCCGAAAGCUAUUUAGGUAGCGCCUCGUGAAUUCAUCUCCGGGGGUAGAGCACUGUUUCGGCAAGGGGGUCAUCCCGACUUACCAACCCGAUGCAAACUGCGAAUACCGGAGAAUGUUAUCACGGGAGACACACGGCGGGUGCUAACGUCCGUCGUGAAGAGGGAAACAACCCAGACCGCCAGCUAAGGUCCCAAAGUCAUGGUUAAGUGGGAAACGAUGUGGGAAGGCCCAGACAGCCAGGAUGUUGGCUUAGAAGCAGCCAUCAUUUAAAGAAAGCGUAAUAGCUCACUGGUCGAGUCGGCCUGCGCGGAAGAUGUAACGGGGCUAAACCAUGCACCGAAGCUGCGGCAGCGACACUAUGUGUUGUUGGGUAGGGGAGCGUUCUGUAAGCCUGUGAAGGUGGCCUGUGAGGGUUGCUGGAGGUAUCAGAAGUGCGAAUGCUGACAUAAGUAACGAUAAAGCGGGUGAAAAGCCCGCUCGCCGGAAGACCAAGGGUUCCUGUCCAACGUUAAUCGGGGCAGGGUGAGUCGACCCCUAAGGCGAGGCCGAAAGGCGUAGUCGAUGGGAAACAGGUUAAUAUUCCUGUACUUGGUGUUACUGCGAAGGGGGGACGGAGAAGGCUAUGUUGGCCGGGCGACGGUUGUCCCGGUUUAAGCGUGUAGGCUGGUUUUCCAGGCAAAUCCGGAAAACCAAGGCUGAGGCGUGAUGACGAGGCACUACGGUGCUGAAGCGACAAAUGCCCUGCUUCCAGGAAAAGCCUCUAAGCAUCAGGUAACAUCAAAUCGUACCCCAAACCGACACAGGUGGUCAGGUAGAGAAUACCAAGGCGCUUGAGAGAACUCGGGUGAAGGAACUAGGCAAAAUGGUGCCGUAACUUCGGGAGAAGGCACGCUGAUAUGUAGGUGAAGCGACUUGCUCGUGGAGCUGAAAUCAGUCGAAGAUACCAGCUGGCUGCAACUGUUUAUUAAAAACACAGCACUGUGCAAACACGAAAGUGGACGUAUACGGUGUGACGCCUGCCCGGUGCCGGAAGGUUAAUUGAUGGGGUUAGCGGCAACGCGAAGCUCUUGAUCGAAGCCCCGGUAAACGGCGGCCGUAACUAUAACGGUCCUAAGGUAGCGAAAUUCCUUGUCGGGUAAGUUCCGACCUGCACGAAUGGCGUAAUGAUGGCCAGGCUGUCUCCACCCGAGACUCAGUGAAAUUGAACUCGCUGUGAAGAUGCAGUGUACCCGCGGCAAGACGGAAAGACCCCGUGAACCUUUACUAUAGCUUGACACUGAACAUUGAGCCUUGAUGUGUAGGAUAGGUGGGAGGCUUUGAAGUGUGGACGCCAGUCUGCAUGGAGCCGACCUUGAAAUACCACCCUUUAAUGUUUGAUGUUCUAACGUUGGCCCGUAAUCCGGGUUGCGGACAGUGUCUGGUGGGUAGUUUGACUGGGGCGGUCUCCUCCUAAAGAGUAACGGAGGAGCACGAAGGUUGGCUAAUCCUGGUCGGACAUCAGGAGGUUAGUGCAAUGGCAUAAGCCAGCUUGACUGCGAGCGUGACGGCGCGAGCAGGUGCGAAAGCAGGUCAUAGUGAUCCGGUGGUUCUGAAUGGAAGGGCCAUCGCUCAACGGAUAAAAGGUACUCCGGGGAUAACAGGCUGAUACCGCCCAAGAGUUCAUAUCGACGGCGGUGUUUGGCACCUCGAUGUCGGCUCAUCACAUCCUGGGGCUGAAGUAGGUCCCAAGGGUAUGGCUGUUCGCCAUUUAAAGUGGUACGCGAGCUGGGUUUAGAACGUCGUGAGACAGUUCGGUCCCUAUCUGCCGUGGGCGCUGGAGAACUGAGGGGGGCUGCUCCUAGUACGAGAGGACCGGAGUGGACGCAUCACUGGUGUUCGGGUUGUCAUGCCAAUGGCACUGCCCGGUAGCUAAAUGCGGAAGAGAUAAGUGCUGAAAGCAUCUAAGCACGAAACUUGCCCCGAGAUGAGUUCUCCCUGAGACUUAGAGUCUCCUGAAGGAACGUUGAAGACGACGACGUUGAUAGGCCGGGUGUGUAAGCGCAGCGAUGCGUUGAGCUAACCGGUACUAAUGAACCGUGAGGCUUAACCUUACAACGCCGAAG